RNAcentral lists this ribosomal RNA (501 nucleotides) under uncultured bacterium. RNAcentral's name for it is "bacterial SSU rRNA". It matches the Rfam family "Bacterial small subunit ribosomal RNA", at positions 30 to 524 of the family's 1533-position model. The record is from RNAcentral.
AUUGAACGCUGGCGGCAUGCCUUACACAUGCAAGUCGAACGGUAACAGGUCUUCGGAUGCUGACGAGUGGCGAACGGGUGAGUAAUACAUCGGAACGUGCCCGAUCGUGGGGGAUAACGAGGCGAAAGCUUUGCUAAUACCGCAUACGAUCUACGGAUGAAAGCGGGGGAUCUUCGGACCUCGCGCGGACGGAGCGGCCGAUGGCAGAUUAGGUAGUUGGUGGGGUAAAGGCUCACCAAGCCAACGAUCUGUAGCUGGUCUGAGAGGAUGAUCAGCCACACUGGGACUGAGACACGGCCCAGACUCCUACGGGAGGCAGCAGUGGGGAAUUUUGGACAAUGGGGGCAACCCUGACGCAGCGACGCCGCGUGAGUGAGGAAGGCCUUCGGUCGUAAGCUCUGUCAAGGAAGAAGUGCAUGGAGGUUAAGUACCCUUCACUGUUUGUACGGUACCCUUAAACGGUAAGACACCGGCUAACUCCGUGCCAGCAGCCGCGGUAAG